GUAGGUGGCAAGCGUUGUCCGGGAAUUAUUGGGGCGUAAAGCGCGCGCAGGCGGUUCUUUAAGUCUGAUGUGAAAGCCCACGGGCUCAACCGUGGAGGGUCAUUGGAAACUGGAGAACUUGAGUACAGAAGAGGAAAGCGGAAUUCCACGUGUAGCGGUGAAAUGCGUAGAGAUGUGGAGGAACACCAGUGGCGAAGGCGGCUUUCUGGUCUGUAACUGACGCUGAGGCGCGAAAGCGUGGGGAGCAAACAGGAUUAGAUACCCUGUAGUCCACGCCGUAAACGAUGAGUGCUAAGUGUUAGGGGGUUUCCGCCCCUUAGUGCUGCAGCUAACGCAUUAAGCACUCCGCCUGGGGAGUACGGCCGCAAAGGCUG
This 374-nucleotide ribosomal RNA is filed under the name uncultured organism. RNAcentral describes it as "partial 16S ribosomal RNA". It matches the Rfam family "Bacterial small subunit ribosomal RNA", at positions 527 to 896 of the family's 1533-position model. The record is from RNAcentral.